Molecule: small RNA, 27 nt
Filed under: Bombyx mori (domestic silkworm)
Lineage: Eukaryota; Metazoa; Arthropoda; Insecta; Lepidoptera; Bombycidae
Description: piRNA piR-bmo-2103827
Source: RNAcentral
UGCAACGAGUUUGGCUGAGGCGUUGGG